GAUGAACGCUAGCUACAGGCUUAACACAUGCAAGUCGAGGGGCAGCAUGGUCUUAGCUCGCUAAGACCGAUGGCGACCGGCGCACGGGUGAGUAACGCGUAUCCAACCUUCCGCAUACUCGGGAUAGCCUUUCGAAAGAAAGAUUAAUGCCCGAUGGUUUCCCGAAUCCGCAUGAGAGCGGGAAUAAAGAUUCAUCGGUAUGCGAUGGGGAUGCGUCCCAUUAGCUUGUUGGCGGGGUAACGGCCCACCAAGGCGACGAUGGGUAGGGGUUCUGAGAGGAAGGUCCCCCACAUUGGAACUGAGACACGGUCCAAACUCCUACGGGAGGCAGCAGUGAGGAAUAUUGGUCAAUGGGCGAGAGCCUGAACCAGCCAAGUAGCGUGAGGGAUGACCGCCCUACGGGUCGUAAACCUCUUUUAUAAGGGAAUAAAGAUAAGUACGCGUACUUAGUUGCAUGUACCUUAUGAAUAAGCAUCGGCUAACUCCGUGCCAGCCGCCGCAGUAA
RNAcentral lists this ribosomal RNA (505 nucleotides) under uncultured bacterium. RNAcentral describes it as "partial 16S ribosomal RNA". It matches the Rfam family "Bacterial small subunit ribosomal RNA", at positions 28 to 523 of the family's 1533-position model. The record is from RNAcentral.